RNAcentral lists this ribosomal RNA (516 nucleotides) under Isocheles sp. UCR 2207-03. RNAcentral's name for it is "partial large subunit ribosomal RNA". It matches the Rfam family "Bacterial large subunit ribosomal RNA", at positions 1835 to 2606 of the family's 2925-position model. The record is from RNAcentral. Lineage: Eukaryota; Metazoa; Arthropoda; Malacostraca; Decapoda; Diogenidae.
AUGAAGAUAUAUACAGUUUGACCUGCCCACUGAAUUUAUUUAAGGGCCGCGGUAUUCCUAACCGUGCUAAGGUAGCAUAAUCAUUAGUCUCUUAAUUGGAGGCUUGUAUGAAAGGUUGGACGAGAAAUAUACUGUUUCAAAUAAAAAAUUUGAAUUUAACUUUUAAGUGAAAAGGCUUAAAUAAGUUAAAAAGACGAUAAGACCCUAUAAAUCUUAACGAUAAAAUUUACAUUUUUUGAUUUAUUAGUUUAAAAAAAUAUUUUGAUUGAACGUUUGGUUGGGGCGACAUAAAUAUAAGAUAAUUAACUAUUUAUAAUAUUAAACAACUAUUGUUGAUGAUAAAUGAUCCUAUUAUAAAGAUUAAAAGACUAAGUUACUUUAGGGAUAACAGCGUUAUUUUUUUUGAGAGUUCUUAUUAAAAAAAAAGUUUGCGACCUCGAUGUUGAAUUAAAAAAUCUUUACGGUGCAGCAGCUGUAAAAGAGAGUCUGUUCGACUUUUAAAUUUUUACAUGAUUU